Musca domestica (house fly) is the source of this 644-nucleotide long non-coding RNA. RefSeq lists it as uncharacterized. The record is from RefSeq and is a predicted model, not a curated record. Lineage: Eukaryota; Metazoa; Arthropoda; Insecta; Diptera; Muscidae. The transcript is spliced from 3 exons.
UUGAAAUUCACAUUGUUAAAAAAGGUUAUUACUAGUGCAAAGAGUUUUUACUAGUGUAAAAUAUUCGAAAAUCGUAAGUAUUAUAAUUUUGAACGUUGUACAUAAUAACGAAACUUAGGUAAGUACCACUUUUGGGUAUUUAUUUAAUAAAUUUAAUAUAAGAUGGCUGCUCUUCUUUCUUUUCCAGGGAUGCUGAACAGAGGUCCUAUUAUGGCGGUGAUUGCUGGCAAUGGAGCUUAUUAUCCGUCAGUUAAUCUCUGGAGUAAAAGCAAAGGGACAACAUUAAGCUUUUGUGUAUGGGAGCAACUAACUCCUGGUGGUUAAUAACCUGUCCUACCUGCCUAGAGAGAGCUCUAUCUAUUCGGAGAGGAUAUGAGAAUAAAAAUUCGAAUAAUAAAGAAAACAAAAGGAAAUGUCUACCCUUAAGGCUACGUAUUUUCUAUACCCUUUUAUUCUAGGUUUAUGGGCAGUCCGUCCGUCGCAAGUAAUUAUCAAUAAGUUUGGAGGUACCUCAGCACCGCGGAAUGCCUGGUGCUCAACAGCGUAUCCAACGAUGGGCAGAGGAGUCGGGAUCGGUGGUCCAAAUAUCGUUAUCGAUGCUGGCAAAGGUGUUUGGUGCUGGAUUACUUCCUUUUGUUCAAAAG